GGCUCUGUAGUGAAGUUCAUAGUGAGUUGCAAGCUCAUUGAUGUGCAUUGAGUAUGCGCCGGAGCCU
Molecule: transfer RNA, 67 nt
Filed under: Sicalis olivascens
Lineage: Eukaryota; Metazoa; Chordata; Aves; Passeriformes; Thraupidae
Description: tRNA-Cys
Source: RNAcentral